GAUAAAAUAAUUAUUAUUUCAAUUGCAUAACUACAUUCAACUAAUGAGAAUACUAAUUAAAUUACAUUUUUAUCUUAUUUAAGUACCAAUCCAUCCAUUUUACAGAUACCUAUAGAUUGAAUUUUCUGAAUAAAUUUAAUAUUAUUUCACAUUUGAAUUAGUAAUAAAUAGCAAUUUAAUGUCGUAAUGAAUGAAAAAGGAUUUUCAUUGCAAGGUGUGCAGUGCAAGCUAAAAAAGUGAAGACAAAAAAUCUCCUCCACACGAAUAAAUAAACUUAACUUCCCCAUUUACGUCAAGUAAUAAGUCAAGUGCAGCAGCAACAGCAAUUGACAGUGAAUAUCUGUUUCUGUAUAUUAAUUGAAAAGUUCUGUCUCAUUCAAAAAAUUUAAAAUUCAUAGAUACAAUUCUAUUUUUAUAGCUUGAGUUCGAGUGGUGUUGCGAACCUUUUAAUUCUCAUACUGAAGUUUUGACCACAAUUUAAUGAAAAUAUUUUAUUCUACUGCGUUUCUGUCACGUCAUUCAUUGCUAAUUUUAACUUUUUUUUUGUAUCCAAUUGAUAACUCAGUAGUUGAAAUGAAGUAAAGUGGACACGUGAUGGAAAAUGUUGUGCCGCCUAUCACCCAACAUUCAAACACGAGAUAUAUACACAUGUUUAUACUCUCACGCAUAGAUACAUAUAUUUAGAUACACUGAAUUCUGCUAUAAACAUGAGAAUUGAGCGUGCAGCAGGGUAGAAAUUACUUUGAUUCAUGUUUAUCCAUAAUAUUUAUAGAUUGAUAGUUUUAGAAUGACAGAGCGAAGGUGGGAAAGUCUAGAAGGAAACCGACCACUAUUUAAAAGCUUUUUUAUAGAAACUCAACUAAAUACGACGUAACUCCUUACAAGAAAAAGUUGUCAUAGUUCACACAGUAAGUGGGAAACCUGGAAGUAAUUUUAUUACACCAUUCCCGGACAUCAGUAAUAUAAACCUUAAAUAAAUAUGCGCAAACGUUUGAAGCUUAUAAUAUUCUAUCAUAUUCUGGAGGAACAAGAGGGAAAAGGGCAAGAACACAAAUUCUACUGGGAAUAUUGGCCAAAGUGGGUUCUGACACUGAGUAGAGUAGAAUACGUGUAGUGAUGGAAUUUUCCACUCCUUAACUUCUGUAUGGGCAAUUCUUUUGUUGAGCCGCGAAGAAUUGAAGGCAUAAUUUGUUUGUAUUUUUUUAUUUUAUGUUUUUGCAGCUGAUUGGUGUUCUUUUUCUCAAGACAUUCGAUAGAUUGAAAUGAAAUUAUUUCAAAUGAAUAAAUAUGAUAUACUAUAUUUUAAAAUU
This is a long non-coding RNA of Eupeodes corollae, 1310 nucleotides long. RefSeq lists it as uncharacterized. Lineage: Eukaryota; Metazoa; Arthropoda; Insecta; Diptera; Syrphidae. The transcript has 2 exons. The record is from RefSeq and is a predicted model, not a curated record.